Molecule: non-coding RNA, 1235 nt
Filed under: Globodera pallida
Lineage: Eukaryota; Metazoa; Nematoda; Chromadorea; Rhabditida; Heteroderidae
Description: bacterial LSU rRNA
Rfam family: Bacterial large subunit ribosomal RNA
Source: RNAcentral
AGUAGGUGAGUGAUGGGGUGACGCAGGAAGGUAGUCCAUCCCGGGCGGUGGUUGUCCCGGGGUAAGGGUGUAGGCCGUGUGGUAGGUAAAUCCGUCACACUUGUGGCUGAGACCUGAUGCCGAGCCGAUUGUGGUGAAGUGGAUGAUCCUAUGCUGUCGAGAAAAGCCUCUAGCGAGUUUCAUGGCGGCCCGUACCCUAAACCGACUCAGGUGGUCAGGUAGAGAAUACCGAGGCGUUCGGGUGAACUAUGGUUAAGGAACUCGGCAAAAUGCCCCCGUAACUUCGGGAGAAGGGGGGCCAUCACCUGGUGACGAGGACUUGCACUCUCGAGCUGGGGGUGGCCGCAGAGACCAGCGAGAAGCGACUGUUUACUAAAAACACAGGUCCGUGCGAAGCCGUAAGGCGAUGUAUACGGACUGACGCCUGCCCGGUGCUGGAACGUUAAGGGGACCGGUUAGUCACAUUUCGGUGUGGCGAAGCUGAGAACUUAAGCGCCAGUAAACGGCGGUGGUAACUAUAACCAUCCUAAGGUAGCGAAAUUCCUUGUCGGGUAAGUUCCGACCUGCACGAAUGGCGUAACGACUUCUCGACUGUCUCAACCAUAGGCCCGGUGAAAUUGCACUACGAGUAAAGAUGCUCGUUUCGCGCAGCAGGACGGAAAGACCCCGGGACCUUUACUACAGUUUGAUAUUGGUGUUCGGUUCGGCUUGUGUAGGAUAGCUGGGAGACUUUGAAGCUUGGACGCCAGUUCAGGUGGAGUCGUCGUUGAAAUACCAGUCUGGUCGUGCUGGAUGUCUAACCUGGGUCCGUGAUCCGGAUCAGGGACAGUGUCUGAUGGGUAGUUUAACUGGGGCGGUUGCCUCCUAAAGAGUAACGGAGGCGCCCAAAGGUUCCCUCAGCCUGGUUGGCAAUCAGGUGUUGAGUGUAAGUGCACAAGGGAGCUUGACUGUGAGACCGACGGGUCGAGCAGGGACGAAAGUCGGGACUAGUGAUCCGGCGGUGGCUUGUGGAAGCGCCGUCGCUCAACGGAUAAAAGGUACCCCGGGGAUAACAGGCUGAUCUUCCCCAAGAGUCCAUAUCGACGGGAUGGUUUGGCACCUCGAUGUCGGCUCGUCGCAUCCUGGGGCUGGAGUCGGUCCCAAGGGUUGGGCUGUUCGCCCAUUAAAGCGGUACGCGAGCUGGGUUUAGAACGUCGUGAGACAGUUCGGUCCCUAUCCGCUGUGCGCGUAGGAAA